Molecule: ribosomal RNA, 495 nt
Filed under: uncultured Desulfobulbus sp.
Lineage: Bacteria; Pseudomonadati; Thermodesulfobacteriota; Desulfobulbia; Desulfobulbales; Desulfobulbaceae
Description: bacterial SSU rRNA
Rfam family: Bacterial small subunit ribosomal RNA
Source: RNAcentral
GCUCAGAAACUCAAUGAAUUGACGGGGCCGCACAAGCGGUGGAGUAUGUGGUUUAAUUCGAUGCAACGCGAAGAACCUUACCUGGUCUUGACAUCCCGGAGACCCUUAGGAAACGUAGGGGGUGCUUCCAUCUGGAAGAAUCUGGAGACAGGUGCUGCAUGGCUGUCGUCAGCUCGUGUCGUGAGAUGUUGGGUUAAGUCCCGCAACGAGCGCAACCCUUGCCUUUAGUUGCCAGCAGUUCGGCUGGGCACUCUAAAGGGACUGCCGGUGUUAAACCGGAGGAAGGUGGGGAUGACGUCAAGUCCUCAUGGCCUUUAUGACCAGGGCUACACACGUACUACAAUGGCCGAUACAAAGGGCAGCGACACUGCGAGGUGAAGCCAAUCCCGUAAAAUCGGUCUCAGUCCGGAUUGGAGUCUGCAACUCGACUCCAUGAAGUUGGAAUCGCUAGUAAUCGUGGAUCAGCAUGCCACGGUGAAUACGUUCCCGGGCCUU